CAUCCAAGGAAGGCACCCUAUUCCCUAGUGCUCGGGCUCUACUUCCGCUCCUUUCUGUGACCUGUCCCUCUGCUCCCACUACCCAUUCACUAUGCCCUUCGCCCCAAGCAUUAUGAAAUCAAUUACUUAUUACACUGCUAAGUAACGUCACUGCCUCGAAUCUCUUCCUCACUUGGGCCUCGGGAACGGUGGCUCAUCCAUCUUCAUUUCAGUGCAAGAUCCAAAUGCCUAGGUCUUAAAGUCAUCAUGACCUAAAACCAGGUCUAAUCAACUGUAACCAGAAGAAGGAGAAGACAUUUAUGUCCGUUUCCUGCAUAUGGUGGAAUCAUUUUCUUUGGCAGAAACAUGUCUCGUUCUUUUCUUGUGUCAGGCAGCAGAGCGGAUCACAGGACUACACUGGGCCAGGGCCGAGGCAGACAACCUGGCAAUCUCGCUAUUAUCCCCAUCCCCCUCCUGGCCUCUUGGCUGGAGGCAGAUUUUCCUUCCCUCCAGGAAAAACCCUCGUUCUUCUGCACGGAGUGCACUGCCCUCGCACAGGCUUUGAUUCAAAGAGUAAAUAUCCGUCAUUGCGCCAAUGGGGGAAAUACACGUCAGACAUUAAAUCCAAUGGAACUCUUCUUGGUAAUCAAAUUGUGAAUCUACUCAAUGCCAUGAGAUGAGCUUCCUGUCAUGAUCUGCCUUGCCACAGGCCCAAAAGCAAUAGGGCCUGCCUACCGUGGUCUGGAACAUGUGAAGUUGUGAGCCAAAAUAAACCUUUACUCUGAAAAAAAAGAAGACAGGAACCUCACUGUGCAUCAGGAAACAGGCCUGUAAUCUCAGCUACUAGCUACUCCAGAGGCUGAGGCAUGAGGACCACAAGUUUGAGGACAGCUGGGGAUGUAGCUCAAUGGUAAAGCACCCAUGGGUUUGACUCAUAAAAUCCUCAUUUACUGCUUCAGCCAGGUGAGAGAGAUAUUUUGAGGGAAAGGGUUAUUUUUGUUUUUGUUUUUAUAGCUUGCUGGGCAAACGCAGUGGCACGCCUGUGUAGGCUGAGGUAUGAGGAUCACUUGAGUUGAAGAUUUCA
Molecule: non-coding RNA, 1063 nt
Organism: Heterocephalus glaber (naked mole-rat)
Lineage: Eukaryota; Metazoa; Chordata; Mammalia; Rodentia; Bathyergidae
Source: RefSeq, a predicted model, not a curated record